This 475-nucleotide ribosomal RNA is filed under the name Chaetomorpha curta. RNAcentral's name for it is "eukaryotic LSU rRNA". It matches the Rfam family "Eukaryotic large subunit ribosomal RNA", at positions 44 to 531 of the family's 3401-position model. Lineage: Eukaryota; Viridiplantae; Chlorophyta; Ulvophyceae; Cladophorales; Cladophoraceae. The record is from RNAcentral.
CAAUAAGCGGAGGAAAAGAAACCAACAGGGAUUCCCUUAGUAACGGCGAGCGAAAAGGGAAGAGCCCAGCUUGUAAAUCUCCGGGUUUCCGGCGAAUUGUAGUCUGGAGUAGCAACUCUUAAAGCUGUGUCCGCCCAAGCAUCUUGGAAUAGAUCGCCUUAGAGGGUGAGAGCCCCGUAGGCUGGCAUUGGCUUUUUCACGGAGUGCUUACGCAGAGUCGGGUUGUUUGGGAAUGCAGCCCCAAUUGGGUGGUAAACCCCAUCUAAGGCUAAAUACCUGUGGGAGACCGAUAGCAAAAAAGUACCUCGAGGGAACGAUGAAAAGACCGCUGGCAAGCGAGUGAAAGAGUGCAUGAAAUUGUAUAGUGGGAAGGGAUGGCCGGGCGUACUGCUUACGGGUAUACACUGCUCUUCGAGCUCUUGAAUACACCGUAGGCUGGCUGGUGCCGGCACUUAUGCUUGCAAAUCCCCAAACU